RNAcentral lists this ribosomal RNA (843 nucleotides) under uncultured bacterium. Its description in RNAcentral is "bacterial SSU rRNA". It matches the Rfam family "Bacterial small subunit ribosomal RNA", at positions 28 to 896 of the family's 1533-position model. The record is from RNAcentral.
GACGAACGCUGGCGGCGUGCUUAACACAUGCAAGUCGAGCGAGAAACCUUCGGGUUUCUAGCGGCGGACGGGUGAGUAACACGUGGGUAACCUGCCUCAAAGAGGGGGAUAGCCUCCCGAAAGGGAGAUUAAUACCGCAUAAAAUCAUAGCUUCGCAUGAAGUAAUGAUUAAAGGAGUAAUCCGCUUUGAGAUGGACCCGCGUCGCAUUAGCUAGUUGGAGAGGUAACGGCUCACCAAGGCGACGAUGCGUAGCCGACCUGAGAGGGUGAUCGGCCACAUUGGAACUGAGACACGGUCCAGACUCCUACGGGAGGCAGCAGUGGGGAAUAUUGCACAAUGGGCGAAAGCCUGAUGCAGCAACGCCGCGUGAGUGAAGAAGGUCUGAUUGUAAAACUCUGUCUUUUGGGACGAUAAUGACGGUACCAAAGGAGGAAGCCACGGCUAACUACGUGCCAGCAGCCGCGGUAAUACGUAGGUGGCAAGCGUUGUCCGGAUUUACUGGGCGUAAAGGAUGUGUAGGCGGAUAUUUAAGUGAGAUGUGAAAUCCCCGGGCUCAACUUGGGGCGUGCAUUUCAAACUGGAUAUCUAGAGUGCAGGAGAGGAAAGCGGAAUUCCUAGUGUAGCGGUGAAAUGCGUAGAGAUUAGGAAGAACAUCAGUGGCGAAGGCGGCUUUCUGGACUGUAACUGACGCUGAGGCAUGAAAGCGUGGGGAGCAAACAGGAUUAGAUACCCUGGUAGUCCACGCCGUAAACGAUGAGUACUAGGUGUAGGAGGUAUCGACUCCUUCUGUGCCGCAGUUAACACAAUAAGUACUCCGCCUGGGAAGUACGGUCGCAAGAUUA